Dioscorea cayenensis subsp. rotundata (Guinea yam) is the source of this 106-nucleotide small nucleolar RNA. The record is from RefSeq and is a predicted model, not a curated record. Lineage: Eukaryota; Viridiplantae; Streptophyta; Magnoliopsida; Dioscoreales; Dioscoreaceae.
AGACCAUGUUGUGGGUAAUGCCUCAAAAGGUCCUUAUAACGCUCCCAUGCCUCAUAAAGGGUUUCGUCCUCUUGUUGAGUAAAAGAGGCUAUGUCAUGUUGAGGCU